Molecule: ribosomal RNA, 287 nt
Filed under: Salmonella enterica
Lineage: Bacteria; Pseudomonadati; Pseudomonadota; Gammaproteobacteria; Enterobacterales; Enterobacteriaceae
Also listed under: 1 other name
Description: partial 16S ribosomal RNA
Rfam family: Bacterial small subunit ribosomal RNA
Source: RNAcentral
AAAUUGAAGAGUUUGAUCAUGGCUCAGAUUGAACGCUGGCGGCAGGCCUAACACAUGCAAGUCGAACGGUAACAGGAAGCAGCUUGCUGCUUUGCUGACGAGUGGCGGACGGGUGAGUAAUGUCUGGGAAACUGCCUGAUGGAGGGGGAUAACUACUGGAAACGGUGGCUAAUACCGCAUAACGUCGCAAGACCAAAGAGGGGGACCUUCGGGCCUCUUGCCAUCAGAUGUGCCCAGAUGGGAUUAGCUUGUUGGUGAGGUAACGGCUCACCAAGGCGACGAUCCCU